Molecule: ribosomal RNA, 447 nt
Filed under: uncultured bacterium
Lineage: Bacteria
Description: bacterial SSU rRNA
Rfam family: Bacterial small subunit ribosomal RNA
Source: RNAcentral
AACGAACGCUGGCGGCAUGCCUAACACAUGCAAGUCGAACGAGACCUUCGGGUCUAGUGGCGCACGGGUGCGUAACGCGUGGGAAUCUGCCCUUGGGUUCGGAAUAACAGUUGGAAACGACUGCUAAUACCGGAUGAUGACGUAAGUCCAAAGAUUUAUCGCCCAAGGAUGAGCCCGCGUAGGAUUAGCUAGUUGGUGAGGUAAAGGCUCACCAAGGCGACGAUCCUUAGCUGGUCUGAGAGGAUGAUCAGCCACACUGGGACUGAGACACGGCCCAGACUCCUACGGGAGGCAGCAGUGGGGAAUAUUGGACAAUGGGCGAAAGCCUGAUCCAGCAAUGCCGCGUGAGUGAUGAAGGCCUUAGGGUUGUAAAGCUCUUUUACCCGGGAUGAUAAUGACAGUACCGGGAGAAUAAGCUCCGGCUAACUCCGUGCCAGCAGCCGCGGU